GUGUCAGCCGCCGCGGUAAUACGGAGGGUGCAAGCGUUAUCCGGAUUCACUGGGUUUAAAGGGUGCGUAGGCGGGUUGGUAAGUCCGUGGUGAAAUCUCCGAGCUUAACUCGGAAACUGCCGUGGAUACUAUCAAUCUUGAAUAUCGUGGAGGUAAGCGGAAUAUGUCAUGUAGCGGUGAAAUGCUUAGAUAUGACAUAGAACACCAAUUGCGUAGGCAGCUUACUACACGAUCAUUGACGCUGAGGCACGAAAGCGUGGGGAGCAAACAGGAUUAGAUACCCGGGUAGUCC
RNAcentral lists this ribosomal RNA (292 nucleotides) under uncultured bacterium. Its description in RNAcentral is "partial 16S ribosomal RNA". It matches the Rfam family "Bacterial small subunit ribosomal RNA", at positions 505 to 796 of the family's 1533-position model. The record is from RNAcentral.